Molecule: ribosomal RNA, 253 nt
Filed under: uncultured bacterium
Lineage: Bacteria
Description: partial 16S ribosomal RNA
Rfam family: Bacterial small subunit ribosomal RNA
Source: RNAcentral
UACGUAGGGACCAAGCGUUGUUCGGAUUUACUGGGCGUAAAGAGCUCGUAGGCGGCUGUUCGAGUCGGGUGUGAAAUCCUGAGGCUUAACCUUGGGUCUGCAUUCGAUACUGGGCGGCUUGAGUCUGGUAGGGGGAUCUGGAAUUCCUGGUGUAGCGGUGAAAUGCGCAGAUAUCAGGAGGAACACCGGUGGCGAAGGCAGGUCUCUGGGCCGAUACUGACGCUGAGGAGCGAAAGCGUGGGGAGCAAACAGG